AUGCCAUUCCAUGAUUGCAUUGGAGCUAUAAAUGAUACUCAUGUUGUUGCCAGAGUGCCUUGGUCACAAGCUAUAGCAUAUAGAGGGUGGAAGCACUACACAAGCCAUAAUGUGCUAGCUGCUAUUGACUUCGAUCUGAAGUUCACAUAUGUGUUGCUUGGCUGGGAAGGAUCAUCACAUGAUGCUAACAUUCUCAGUGACAGCGUGAGUCGUCAUGAUGGCAUCAACAUCCCCGAUGGCAAGUUCUACCUUGGAGAUGCUGGCUACGCAUGUCGGACAUGUGUUCUUCCACCCUUCGGGAAAACCAUGUACCAUCUCAACGAGUUUGCUAGUAAGAACUAUCCUAGGACUCCCCGGGAACUUUUCAACCUCAGACACUCCAGCCUUAGAGUGACUGUUGAGAGGGCCUUUGGAGCUCUGGAGAACAUGUUUAAGAUCCUGGAUCAGAAGCCAUUCCACCCUUACCCUAACUAGGUGAAGUUUGUUCUUGCAUGUUGCAUCAUUCACAACUGGAUCCUGCAAUGGGGAGUUGAUGGAUUUGUGCCGAUGGAGCAAUAUGUGACUCCUGAUGAGGUAAUCAGCUCUGUCCAUGGUGUGGAGGCGCUCGACAACGAAGUGUGGAAGAACAAAAGGUUGAAGUGUGCUCAGGCAAUGUGGGAUAACAGAGGUCAAACAAGGAUUUGA
This 684-nucleotide ribosomal RNA is filed under the name Triticum aestivum (bread wheat). Its description in RNAcentral is "partial small subunit ribosomal RNA". Lineage: Eukaryota; Viridiplantae; Streptophyta; Magnoliopsida; Poales; Poaceae. The record is from RNAcentral.